UGCAAACCAAGGACAGAGGCUUCAGAAGAAUUUCACACUUGGCUGACACCCUAGUCUUGGACUUCUAGCCUCCAGAAGGUUAAGAAAACAAAUGUCUGUUGUUUAAGCCACCUAUCUAUGGCCAUGAUUACUAAUGGAAAACUUCAGUCUUGCCAGCUGAAUUCAGGCCCUCUGUAUUCUACCUCUUAAGAAGAAGAAGCAACAUCGGGAGUCAUAUCGAAGAACAUUAUUAGGCCAUAGUUCUGAGAGAAGACGGUCAUAUCUCCACUUCCCUUUUAGAAAAGUUUACCUCCAUCCCCACAUCAAACUUGAGAAAAUGAAACAGGAACAACAAGGGGCUCCUUGGAGAGAAGCAAUACAGGCUAAAUUGUUCAAAGGUGGGUUUUUUGUUUUGUUUUGUUUUGUGAAUAGUUCCCAGAAGUUGUCCUGUUCAGUAACUUUUCUUUGAUGUCCUCAUAGAGUUUGAUCACAUGUGACAGUUUCAGAUUUAAACACCAGUGGAACCCCUCUGUAAAUUUUAGUGCUCUUUUCUCGUGUUGCUCCCUUACCUACAGUUGUGCCCUGAAAGUUCCAGCUGCCUUAGCUUCCCUGAUCUCUGCUUGCUAAUUCCUCAACUGAGCAAAAAUGUCACCCGUGCAUAGAUUCUCUCUCCCUGCUCCAUAAUUUGGAACAUGCAUCCAGGCAGAAAGCUGAAAUGAUUUUUUUUCCUUCUUUAAGGGCAGUCAGCUUUUGGCAUGGAUCAGUGUCUGGAAACAGUUGUUUU
Long non-coding RNA from Canis lupus familiaris (dog), 763 nucleotides. RefSeq lists it as uncharacterized. The record is from RefSeq and is a predicted model, not a curated record. NCBI's taxonomy places the organism in Eukaryota, Metazoa, Chordata, Mammalia, Carnivora, Canidae. The transcript has 3 exons.